RNAcentral lists this long non-coding RNA (685 nucleotides) under Brassica rapa (field mustard). RNAcentral describes it as "long non-coding RNA (BRAP_LNC005659)". The record is from RNAcentral. Lineage: Eukaryota; Viridiplantae; Streptophyta; Magnoliopsida; Brassicales; Brassicaceae.
ACCAUAUUUAAAUACAAUGAAAUGCAAACCAAAAGAAAAUAUGCUUCUAUAUCUCUCAAGCUAUACUAGCCUCUGUUAAACCAAUCCUCCAUCAUCUUCUCAUAUUUACCUCCUACCCUCCUUCUCAAAGAAGAUAUUCUGUUUCUAAUGAGCUUAUCAAGCCUUGCAAUCAGACAGGUAGCUGGCUGCGAUGCCUCACCCACUCUUCUCACAUUCCUCUCAUGCCAUAACGCAUAAGCCACGGCCUGAAAGCAAUAACGCAGUAACACAGUCGAACUCCACUUAUGUAAACCCUUCUCAACAAUCCGAAGCACUCUAUCCCAUUUAUACACUUCUCCACGCCCUGCCAAAUGUUUUAUGGUUCCAAUCCAGACUUCCUUAGAGAACGAGCACUCGAAAAAUAGGUGAUCACGAGUCUCAGCUUCCGUGUUACACAACCAGCAUGUAGAAACGGCUUGUGGAUUCCACCUAAGAAUCCUAUCUCCUGUUGCUAGUCUGUCAUGAAUAGCAAGCCAAACUAAGAAAGAAAAUCGCGGGGUAGCUUCAGUGAACCACACUCCUUUUACCCAAGAUACCUUUGGAGAUGAACUUCUUACAAGAUUCCAAGUAUGAGAUGUUCUGAAAUCUGUUUUAAAAUCCCCAUUCUCCCUCUUCCAAAGGCAUAUAUCAUCUAGCUGGUUGAGAC